This 2296-nucleotide ribosomal RNA is filed under the name Escherichia coli. Its description in RNAcentral is "partial 23S ribosomal RNA". It matches the Rfam family "Bacterial large subunit ribosomal RNA", at positions 609 to 2883 of the family's 2925-position model. The record is from RNAcentral. Lineage: Bacteria; Pseudomonadati; Pseudomonadota; Gammaproteobacteria; Enterobacterales; Enterobacteriaceae.
UGUAUAAUGGGUCAGCGACUUAUAUUCUGUAGCAAGGUUAACCGAAUAGGGGAGCCGAAGGGAAACCGAGUCUUAACUGGGCGUUAAGUUGCAGGGUAUAGACCCGAAACCCGGUGAUCUAGCCAUGGGCAGGUUGAAGGUUGGGUAACACUAACUGGAGGACCGAACCGACUAAUGUUGAAAAAUUAGCGGAUGACUUGUGGCUGGGGGUGAAAGGCCAAUCAAACCGGGAGAUAGCUGGUUCUCCCCGAAAGCUAUUUAGGUAGCGCCUCGUGAAUUCAUCUCCGGGGGUAGAGCACUGUUUCGGCAAGGGGGUCAUCCCGACUUACCAACCCGAUGCAAACUGCGAAUACCGGAGAAUGUUAUCACGGGAGACACACGGCGGGUGCUAACGUCCGUCGUGAAGAGGGAAACAACCCAGACCGCCAGCUAAGGUCCCAAAGUCAUGGUUAAGUGGGAAACGAUGUGGGAAGGCCCAGACAGCCAGGAUGUUGGCUUAGAAGCAGCCAUCAUUUAAAGAAAGCGUAAUAGCUCACUGGUCGAGUCGGCCUGCGCGGAAGAUGUAACGGGGCUAAACCAUGCACCGAAGCUGCGGCAGCGACGCUUAUGCGUUGUUGGGUAGGGGAGCGUUCUGUAAGCCUGCGAAGGUGUACUGUGAGGUAUGCUGGAGGUAUCAGAAGUGCGAAUGCUGACAUAAGUAACGAUAAAGCGGGUGAAAAGCCCGCUCGCCGGAAGACCAAGGGUUCCUGUCCAACGUUAAUCGGGGCAGGGUGAGUCGACCCCUAAGGCGAGGCCGAAAGGCGUAGUCGAUGGGAAACAGGUUAAUAUUCCUGUACUUGGUGUUACUGCGAAGGGGGGACGGAGAAGGCUAUGUUGGCCGGGCGACGGUUGUCCCGGUUUAAGCGUGUAGGCUGGUUUUCCAGGCAAAUCCGGAAAAUCAAGGCUGAGGCGUGAUGACGAGGCACUACGGUGCUGAAGCAACAAAUGCCCUGCUUCCAGGAAAAGCCUCUAAGCAUCAGGUAACAUCAAAUCGUACCCCAAACCGACACAGGUGGUCAGGUAGAGAAUACCAAGGCGCUUGAGAGAACUCGGGUGAAGGAACUAGGCAAAAUGGUGCCGUAACUUCGGGAGAAGGCACGCUGAUAUGUAGGUGAAGCGACUUGCUCGUGGAGCUGAAAUCAGUCGAAGAUACCAGCUGGCUGCAACUGUUUAUUAAAAACACAGCACUGUGCAAACACGAAAGUGGACGUAUACGGUGUGACGCCUGCCCGGUGCCGGAAGGUUAAUUGAUGGGGUUAGCGGUAACGCGAAGCUCUUGAUCGAAGCCCCGGUAAACGGCGGCCGUAACUAUAACGGUCCUAAGGUAGCGAAAUUCCUUGUCGGGUAAGUUCCGACCUGCACGAAUGGCGUAAUGAUGGCCAGGCUGUCUCCACCCGAGACUCAGUGAAAUUGAACUCGCUGUGAAGAUGCAGUGUACCCGCGGCAAGACGGAAAGACCCCGUGAACCUUUACUAUAGCUUGACACUGAACAUUGAGCCUUGAUGUGUAGGAUAGGUGGGAGGCUUUGAAGUGUGGACGCCAGUCUGCAUGGAGCCGACCUUGAAAUACCACCCUUUAAUGUUUGAUGUUCUAACGUUGGCCCCUAAUCGGGGUUGCGGACAGUGUCUGGUGGGUAGUUUGACUGGGGCGGUCUCCUCCUAAAGAGUAACGGAGGAGCACGAAGGUUGGCUAAUCCUGGUCGGACAUCAGGAGGUUAGUGCAAUGGCAUAAGCCAGCUUGACUGCGAGCGUGACGGCGCGAGCAGGUGCGAAAGCAGGUCAUAGUGAUCCGGUGGUUCUGAAUGGAAGGGCCAUCGCUCAACGGAUAAAAGGUACUCCGGGGAUAACAGGCUGAUACCGCCCAAGAGUUCAUAUCGACGGCGGUGUUUGGCACCUCGAUGUCGGCUCAUCACAUCCUGGGGCUGAAGUAGGUCCCAAGGGUAUGGCUGUUCGCCAUUUAAAGUGGUACGCGAGCUGGGUUUAGAACGUCGUGAGACAGUUCGGUCCCUAUCUGCCGUGGGCGCUGGAGAACUGAGGGGGGCUGCUCCUAGUACGAGAGGACCGGAGUGGACGCAUCACUGGUGUUCGGGUUGUCAUGCCAAUGGCACUGCCCGGUAGCUAAAUGCGGAAGAGAUAAGUGCUGAAAGCAUCUAAGCACGAAACUUGCCCCGAGAUGAGUUCUCCCUGACUCCUUGAGAGUCCUGAAGGAACGUUGAAGACGACGACGUUGAUAGGCCGGGUGUGUAAGCGCAGCGAUG